Small nucleolar RNA from Antechinus flavipes (yellow-footed antechinus), 64 nucleotides. The record is from RefSeq and is a predicted model, not a curated record. NCBI's taxonomy places the organism in Eukaryota, Metazoa, Chordata, Mammalia, Dasyuromorphia, Dasyuridae.
UGACAAUGAUGUACAGAAUUUCUUCACCUGAAAAUAGCAUGUAGUAAUUUUGAUUCUGAGACAA